GGGGAGCAAACAGGAUUAGAUACCCUGGUAGUCCACGCUGUAAACGAUGAGUACUAGGUGUCGGGGGUUACCCCCUUCGGGGCCGCAGCUAACGCAUUAAGUACUCCGCCUGGGAAGUACGCUCGAAAGAGUGAAACUCAAAGGAAUGGACGGGGACCCGCACAAGUAGCGGAGCAUGUGGUUUAAUUCGAAGCAACGCGAAGAACCUUACCUAAGCUUGACAUCCCAAUGACAUCUCCUUAAUCGGGGAGUUCC
RNAcentral lists this ribosomal RNA (255 nucleotides) under Clostridioides difficile. RNAcentral's name for it is "partial 16S ribosomal RNA". It matches the Rfam family "Bacterial small subunit ribosomal RNA", at positions 763 to 1017 of the family's 1533-position model. The record is from RNAcentral. Lineage: Bacteria; Bacillati; Bacillota; Clostridia; Peptostreptococcales; Peptostreptococcaceae.